UACCACCCUUUAAUGUUUGAUGUUCUAACGUGGACCCGUAAUCCGGGUUGCGGACAGUGUCUGGUGGGUAGUUUGACUGGGGCGGUCUCCUCCUAAAGAGUAACGGAGGAGCACGAAGGUUGGCUAAUCCUGGUCGGACAUCAGGAGGUUAGUGCAAUGGCAUAAGCCAGCUUGACUGCGAGCGUGACGGCGCGAGCAGGUGCGAAAGCAGGUCAUAGUGAUCCGGUGGUUCUGAAUGGAAGGGCCAUCGCUCAACGGAUAAAAGGUACUCCGGGGAUAACAGGCUGAUACCGCCCAAGAGUUCAUAUCGACGGCGGUGUUUGGCACCUCGAUGUCGGCUCAUCACAUCCUGGGGCUGAAGUAGGUCCCAAGGGUAUGGCUGUUCGCCAUUUAAAGUGGUACGCGAGCUGGGUUUAGAACGUCGUGAGACAGUUCGGUCCCUAUCUGCCGUGGGCGCUGGAGAACUGAGGGGGGCUGCUCCUAGUACGAGAGGACCGGAGUGGACGCAUCACUGGUGUUCGGGUUGUCAUGCCAAUGGCACUGCCCGGUAGCUAAAUGCGGAAGAGAUAAGUGCUGAAAGCAUCUAAGCACGAAACUUGCCCCGAGAUGAGUUCUCCCUGAGACUUAGAGUCUCCUGAAGGAACGUUGAAGACGACGACGUUGAUAGGCCGGGUGUGUAAGCGCAGCGAUGCGUUGAGCUAACCGGUACUAAUGAACCGUGAGGCUUAACCUUAC
RNAcentral lists this ribosomal RNA (735 nucleotides) under Salmonella enterica subsp. enterica serovar Thompson. Its description in RNAcentral is "partial 23S ribosomal RNA". It matches the Rfam family "Bacterial large subunit ribosomal RNA", at positions 2198 to 2925 of the family's 2925-position model. The record is from RNAcentral. Lineage: Bacteria; Pseudomonadati; Pseudomonadota; Gammaproteobacteria; Enterobacterales; Enterobacteriaceae. RNAcentral also lists the same sequence under 1 other name.